RNAcentral lists this unclassified non-coding RNA (224 nucleotides) under fungal sp. RNAcentral's name for it is "partial internal transcribed spacer region". The stretch from base 1 to 46 matches the Rfam family "Eukaryotic small subunit ribosomal RNA", at positions 1786 to 1831 of the family's 1831-position model. Lineage: Eukaryota; Fungi. The record is from RNAcentral.
AAGUCGUAACAAGGUAACCGUAGGUGAACCUGCGGUUGGAUCAUUACAAAAUUUGAAUCUCUGGUUGACGCGCAAGUGUCCCAUUGAUUUAUUAACACCGUGUGCACUUUGAUAGUAUUUUGGGUUUGCUUUUAGGAGUAGGCCCAAUAUUAUAAACACCCUUUAAAUAGCCUGAAAUUCUUGUAAAAAGAAAACAACUUUUGACAACGGAUCUCUUGGCUCUC